AUUGAACGCUGUCGGCAGGCCUCACACAUGCAAGUCGAGCGGAGCGGCGGACGGGUGAGUAAUGCCUCGGAAUCUGCCUGUUAGUGGUGGAUAACGUCCGGAAACGGACGCUAAUCCCGCAUACUAUCAGAUGAGCCUAGGUCGGAUUAGCUAGUUGGUGGGGUAAAGGCCUACCAAGGCGACGAUCCGUAACUGGUCUUAGAGGAUGAUCAGUCAAACUGGAACUGAGAUACGGUCCAGACUCAUACGGGAGGCAGAAGUGGGGAAUAUUGGACAAUGGGCGAAAGCCUGAUCCAGCCAUGCCGCGUGUGUGAAGAAGGUCGUCGGAUGGUAAAGCACUUUAAGUUGGGAGGCGUUACCAACAGAAUAAGCACCGGCUAACUUCGUGCCAGCAGCCGCGGUAAUUC
This 407-nucleotide ribosomal RNA is filed under the name uncultured bacterium. Its description in RNAcentral is "partial 16S ribosomal RNA". It matches the Rfam family "Bacterial small subunit ribosomal RNA", at positions 30 to 526 of the family's 1533-position model. The record is from RNAcentral.